RNAcentral lists this unclassified non-coding RNA (1431 nucleotides) under Hevea brasiliensis (rubber tree). Lineage: Eukaryota; Viridiplantae; Streptophyta; Magnoliopsida; Malpighiales; Euphorbiaceae. The record is from RNAcentral.
AUCAGUUGUUCCAUCCAGAUACUGUGCUCCUGAAUCACAUAAGUACAUUUGAUCUGGGUCAAGUUCAGCACAUGUUUCUGCCUCAGGGGAAUAAUGGAUAAUGGCUCCAUUUGAACCAACAGAUGAAAUAGUUGGAAAACUCAGCCCUCUGAAAUGCUCUUUAGAUGCCCGGAACUCCUCUAGCUUAUCACUUGCAGAAACUUCUGUAAGCCGUUUCAAAUCCUUUAGUUUGUUCAUGCUCAUACUCUCAGCCUCUGCGAAGUAACCGGAUGCCCCAUAGAUUUCCUGCAUCUGCCUAUCCAGCCAGGCGAGAUAUUGCACGACUGCUGCCCCAUCCCGAAUGUGGGCGUUCUUCAAUCCUUUCAUCUCAACAGGGUUCUUUAGGGCUUUCGCAAGAGCCAAUGGUGACUGCUUAAGGAGGACUUUAUCAGCAUUCAAUUUCAAGUACAAAGCAAAGCAGCAUGCACCAGUGUCAACCCAAAUGAGGUCAUUCACAAGCUCUGCUGUCUGAAUUUCACCAUUUUCUGUAUCCUUGCCACAAUUAGUCUCCGUAUUCAAUCCGGACGGAGUUUUGUCAGCUGAAGAAGGAGUGAGUUGAUCAGAUGCAAGUAGGACUGCAUCUGAGCUAACAUCACCAUAUUCCCGUACAAAAAUUCCAUUUUCCUUCAUGUAAGAGUUUGCCUCAGAUGACAACUUUCUUUUAUCCACAUACAAGAAGGCCGAGGUCAAUGUCACAAUAGCAAAUGCAUGAACAACCGGGCUAUAUGAUACAUCUGUUCCACGGACAUUAUACAACCAGGCAACUUCAUCAAGUGCUGUUAUUAUUAUGGCACGAGCUUUUUCCUUUACAAGCUUUGCUCUCAAAUCUUUCAACUUAUCUGCAACAGAGCGACCAGCAAAUUCUAAAGGAUGCACGAUCAAGGGAUUUGUUUCGGCAGGUGGCUGAUUUUUCCAGACUUCAUCUACCAAGUUUCUAGCUGUUGGAACCAACUUUUGCUGUUUCUUAGCAAAAGCACGCUCCCAUUUCUGUGCAGUAUCUACUGAUAUACACCAUGGAUCAACACCAAUAGCUGCAUCCUUUGGCAGAUUAUCUGCCAUCCAAAUAUCAAGUGCAGGGUCUUCUCCCAUACGCAUGAGCUUCCAUUGCUCACUAAGCUGCUGAGCUGCCUGCAAAAAGUAGCGACCAUCGGUCCACAGAAGUGCUUCGUUCAUUGAUAUAAGCGCUAUACCAGCACUUCCGGUGAAUCCAGAGACGAAAUCGCGCCUCUUAUCUCGUGCAGAAACAUAUUCGCUCUGAUGAUAAUCUUCGGAAGGAACGAUUAAAGCAUUGAGAGGAGGAGAGUGAGAAGCCAUCAAAGACCUCAGAGCUGCGAGAGUGUCCGCCAUCGUCUGUCUCUUUCGUUAGUUCUGGGAAUGGAGCAGAGAGGGGAG